AUUUUCACUUAAUAGACAAUUCUUAACCAGCCUUUUGGCUCCAGUUUCUUAAGGAUGGCCCUCUAUCUGAUCGCAGCUAUAAAACUAAGGACUCUUUUAUACGAAGAAAGCAGAGAAUUUGAUAUUAAAUUGUGAGAUUGAAAAGCACCACUUUUAGCAGCCAGUUUAUAAGGCAGCUAGGAACAUCCUAAAAUGCCUGCUGGUCACAGUUCCCUUCUGAGCAAAGCAGCUAUAUGGUCUCUACGCAUAAGUCUGCUUUCUUCAAACACAGGAUCCACUCCAUUGUGACUAGGUUGAUAAAGCACGGUGAUUGUGUGUAUGAAACUACUCUGCUCACUUUUCUCAAUAAGGAGCAGUCCCAGGAAGGUGCUUUAAAUCUUCGUGGAUCAUUGAGCUGGGCCGGAACACAAAGGGCUGGUCAAGGUUCAAAGAUUAGGCAGAAUUUCUCUCCAACAAGAUUCAAGCUUGCUUUCACUUUGCAUCACCGGAACAAACAAGCAGAGCAAAGGCUCCCCUACCCGGGAGGACUGAUGGGAGACAGCUGUGGUUCCUCUUGCUCUUACUUUCUCAAAAAGGUGCACCAGGGUUCGGAGCCUCAAUCGAGCAGAAACAAGUUCAUGAUGAAUCCUUCAUUGGAGCUGCAGGGGGACCACAGGAAGCUAUGCCCUCUGCAACCAUCUCAGAAAAUCAUGUACUACUGUGACCUCUGGAUUUUUGUUCCAGGUACAGGCCGUGACAACUUCAAGAAGUCACAUAAUCCCUCCAAAUUUCAGUUUCCUUCUCUGGAAAGUGUUUAUAUACAGUGUUGUUGAGAAAAAGCACACAGUGAAGAAGAAAGAGUAGUUUGGAGUCACACAGAACUCUAUUCAAAC
This 872-nucleotide long non-coding RNA is filed under the name Equus caballus (horse). RNAcentral describes it as "lncRNA (ENSECAG00000044491.1)". Lineage: Eukaryota; Metazoa; Chordata; Mammalia; Perissodactyla; Equidae. The record is from RNAcentral.